RNAcentral lists this transfer RNA (73 nucleotides) under Ornithorhynchus anatinus (platypus). It matches the Rfam family "tRNA". Rfam says of the family: Transfer RNA (tRNA) molecules are approximately 80 nucleotides in length. Lineage: Eukaryota; Metazoa; Chordata; Mammalia; Monotremata; Ornithorhynchidae. The record is from Rfam by way of RNAcentral.
AGCAGUGUGGCUUAACUGAUAGAGCACAUGCCUGGGAAUCAGAAAGACCUGGGUUCUGAUCCCAGUUCUGCCA